UUUGUUAAAAAAAAAUUAGUUAACUAUAAGUUAAAUACUUAACCCUAAUUAGUUUAGGAGAUAAUUUGACAUUUCUACCUCUUUUAUAUUAUAUUAUUGUGGCCUUUAGAAGGAUAUAUUUGUGAUGACGAAAUUGAUAUUUCGCUUAUUUUCUGUUAAAAUAUAAAUAGUUCUCUAACAGUAAUAAAUCAGAAAGAUAUAUUUGAGAAUAUUAAAAAUAAAGUUGAACUUUGUAGAAAUAUAUUUGCAAUUCACUAUAUUUAUUAGGACCUGCAUGCAUUUAACCCUAAGGGUGCGUUUGGUUCGCAUUAUGAAAGAUUACUAGGAAUAAAAGAUAUCCGAGAAUCUUAUUCCUAUUCAUCCUAUUACUAAGAAUGUGAAAUUCCUGUGUUUGGUUCGUACAGUAAUAUUAAUUAGUCAUGUUAUUUAAUAUUGCAAAAAAUAUAUAAUUAAUUAAUUAAUUUAUUUAUUUAAUUUUAGAUAAUGUUGCCAAAAGUUUCAAUAUUUUUUUAGAAAAAAGGGAGAGAGAGUAUAAGUUAGAGAGAGAGAGCACAACUAAAAAAAUAGAAAGAAAAAUAUAGUCGAAAUAAGAGGGAGUGAGAGAGUUGAAAUUUAGAAAGAGAGAGAGAGAAAGCUUAGUUUAGAGAGAGAUAUAAGGUUAGAGUGUAAAGAAAAAUAAUAUCAAUUAGCCGGCGGAUAGGAAGAAAGAAAGAAAUUAGACAUAUUAGGAUUAUCCCAAUCCAUUAAUAUGAUGAUACCCACCCUCCCUCAAGGGAAUGAGAUUAGUACUUUGGGGUGAAUCUUAUUCCCAAGUGAAUCCAAUAUUACCAACUAGAUUACUUAGUGCGUUUAGCCAAACACCGUCAUAUUUUUUUAUUCCCAUUGGAUUACUAGGAAUCUUUAAAAGAUAGCGCGAACCAAACGCACCCUAAAAGCAAUGUCUUGUCGACUGUCUUUGGGAG
RNAcentral lists this long non-coding RNA (962 nucleotides) under Ananas comosus (pineapple). Its description in RNAcentral is "long non-coding RNA (ACOM_LNC040852)". Lineage: Eukaryota; Viridiplantae; Streptophyta; Magnoliopsida; Poales; Bromeliaceae. The record is from RNAcentral.